GACGAACGCUGGCGGCGUGCUUAACACAUGCAAGUCGAACGGAAAGGCCCUGCUUUUGUGGGGUGCUCGAGUGGCGAACGGGUGAGUAACACGUGAGUAACCUGCCCUUGACUUUGGGAUAACUUCAGGAAACUGGGGCUAAUACCGGAUAGGAGCUCCUGCUGCAUGGUGGGGGUUGGAAAGUUUCGGCGGUUGGGGAUGGACUCGCGGCUUAUCAGCUUGUUGGUGGGGUAGUGGCUUACCAAGGCUUUGACGGGUAGCCGGCCUGAGAGGGUGACCGGCCACAUUGGGACUGAGAUACGGCCCAGACUCGUACGGGAGGCAGCAGUGGGGAAUAUUGCACAAUGGGCGGAAGCCUGAUGCAGCAACGCCGCGUGCGGGAUGACGGCCUUCGGGUUGUAAACCGCUUUCGCCUGUGACGAAGCGUGAGUGACGGUAAUGGGUAAAGAAGCACCAGCUAACUACGUG
This 468-nucleotide ribosomal RNA is filed under the name uncultured bacterium. RNAcentral describes it as "partial 16S ribosomal RNA". It matches the Rfam family "Bacterial small subunit ribosomal RNA", at positions 28 to 507 of the family's 1533-position model. The record is from RNAcentral.